This 227-nucleotide long non-coding RNA is filed under the name Brassica napus (rape). RNAcentral's name for it is "long non-coding RNA (BNAP_LNC012507)". The record is from RNAcentral. Lineage: Eukaryota; Viridiplantae; Streptophyta; Magnoliopsida; Brassicales; Brassicaceae.
AUGUGCCCCCAUCUAAAUAUGAUCCUGCAUCCGCCCAUGACACAUCCAAGUAUUAUACAUAUAUAUUAGAAAACAAAUAAGUUCAAAACAAAAGAACAAUUCCCUGGCAGAUUCGAAAACUCAGUCAGAUAAAUUAGUUCAAAACUUUUAAACAAGUUUAAAAAUGAUCAUCCCUUCGAAUCCACGAAACUUCACACUCAUAACAUUCUCUUUCUAGCCGGACCCAU